UACGUAGGGGGCGAGCGUUGUCCGGAUUUAUUGGGCGUAAAGAGCGCGUAGGCGGCUAUUCAAGUCGAACGUGAAAGCUCGGGGCUCAACCCCGAGAUUGCGUUCGAUACUGGAUGGCUAGAGGCUGGUAGGGGGGUGUGGAAUUCCUGGUGUAGCGGUGAAAUGCGCAGAUAUUGGGAGGAACACCAGUGGCGAAGGCGGCCCUCUGGACGGAUACUGACGCUGAGACGCGACAGCGUGGGGAGCAAACAGG
Molecule: ribosomal RNA, 253 nt
Filed under: uncultured bacterium
Lineage: Bacteria
Description: partial 16S ribosomal RNA
Rfam family: Bacterial small subunit ribosomal RNA
Source: RNAcentral